Molecule: ribosomal RNA, 253 nt
Filed under: uncultured bacterium
Lineage: Bacteria
Description: partial 16S ribosomal RNA
Rfam family: Bacterial small subunit ribosomal RNA
Source: RNAcentral
UACGUAGGGUGCGAGCGUUGUCCGGAUUUAUUGGGCGUAAAGGGCUCGUAGGCGGCUUGUCGCGUCUGCUGUGAAAACGCGAGGCUCAACCUCGCGCCUGCAGUGGGUACGGGCAGACUAGAGUGCGGUAGGGGAGAUUGGAAUUCCUGGUGUAGCGGUGGAAUGCGCAGAUAUCAGGAGGAACACCGAUGGCGAAGGCAGAUCUCUGGGCCGUAACUGACGCUGAGGAGCGAAAGCGUGGGGAGCGAACAGG